AACAACAGCAACAUAGGCGACACGUAAACAUCUCAAGAUAUAACAAUAUCAAAUAAUAAUCAACAACAACUCAUGCAACUUAGUUUAAUAACAAUAGCAGCAUAAUCAGAUCAUAUCAACAACUUAACAUCAAUUCAUUUUCAAUAACUUCUUGAUCAUUCAAUAAUAAUUCAAGUAAUGCAAUCAAUCAAUAAAUCACAUUAUAAACACUUAGCAUUUCAAUAUAGCUUCACAAUUAACAGUUAACAUCUUAGAUAGGUCUCAUUAGUACCUAAAGUUCCAUUCCUAAACAAUCCAAGCAACUCAAGUCUCAAACUCCUCAAAA
RNAcentral lists this long non-coding RNA (325 nucleotides) under Medicago truncatula (barrel medic). RNAcentral's name for it is "long non-coding RNA (MTRU_LNC000362)". Lineage: Eukaryota; Viridiplantae; Streptophyta; Magnoliopsida; Fabales; Fabaceae. The record is from RNAcentral.